UACGAAGGGGGCUAGCGUUGCUCGGAAUGACUGGGCGUAAAGGGCGCGUAGGCGGAUGACACAGUCAGAUGUGAAAUUCCCGGGCUUAACCUGGGGGCUGCAUUUGAUACGUGUUGUCUAGAGUGAGGAAGAGGGUUGUGGAAUUCCCAGUGUAGAGGUGAAAUUCGUAGAUAUUGGGAAGAACACCGGUGGCGAAGGCGACUCGCUGGACAAGUAUUGACGCUGAGGUGCGAAAGCGUGGGGAGCAAACAGG
Molecule: ribosomal RNA, 253 nt
Filed under: uncultured bacterium
Lineage: Bacteria
Description: partial 16S ribosomal RNA
Rfam family: Bacterial small subunit ribosomal RNA
Source: RNAcentral